GGUUACACUGUUGUGCUGGACCUUUAUUCUGGUGUUCAUUCUGUUAAGGCACAUUAGUAAAUAUUUGUUGCUCGCAAGGGUACUGUGACUGUUUGUUAUCUCAUCUUUAAAAGAUUCAAGGCCAUCGGGCGAUAUGUCGUUGAUUUUAUAUUCUCCUGACUGAAACUAGAAACCUUUUACAGGACGACAACAAUGUGUCCUUCACUUCGGUACCAAAGAUUCUUCGAGCAUAAUGGAGCUUCUGCGGUUCAUUCAAGGGCAAAAAUAAUUUAUUGCUAGCUGUCCUCUUUCGUUGUCUGGCCGAUCAAGAUUAAGUCGCAAUGAUCAUGAUUUAGGUUUCAUGCCGUGGGAGGUGAUCUCCAGUGUUACGAAUAACUAAUGGUAGUGCAUCUUAAGCUUGAUACUGCAAGUAAACAAACACCGCUAACAAUGAAGUAAUAUAUUUAGAAUAGUUUAUGCUCGUAAGAUAUUUAAUUGUUCUUCUGUAGUGUCAUUCCCCAAUUGUCAAUAGUAACAUACUCGCCUCUUUCUCUGUAGCUAAAUAUCUUCUUGAUAAACCUGUAGCCAAAGCCCUGGUAGAUCCAAUAGCUAAAAAUAUGCAGGCAAAGCUCCGGUAUAUGUUUCUUCUGGUCAUGUAUGCUGUGAUGCAUAUUACACAACUUUAUUUCUACCCUGAUGUAUAAAGCAUGUAUUGCUGAUGUUAUGAUUGGCUAAAUUUGAAACAGCCCUAGACUGGGAUGCUUUAUCUUUAUACUGAUCUUCUACCACGAAACAACAUCAUUAUUUCAGCAUUUAGUUACCAUUGUGUGUGCAUGCAGUCUAGAGUAAGUACCGAACACGAUCUGAUACAUUCUUGCUUUUCCUGCUAUACUUUCUUUUUCACAAUACUAUCUACGCUUUGCUGAAUGUUGCCUCCACUUUACCUCACUUUAUAUCCUCCUAUUCCAGAAAUUGGUUGAGUAUGAAGCAACUAAGAUGAUAUUGGUUUGUAGACCCCUAAUAUAUUUUUUCAUGUGCCGGCGAGUUCAGAUUUGUGUACUGAUUACGGCUUCUUAUAAGCCAUACUUAGUGAUCUGGGGUCAAUAACAAGAAGUGACUCGAUUAUGCAAUUCAUUUUUGUUGUAAUGCAUCUCAGUUCUGUUAUUUGCCAUUUGUUCAACCAAGAAUUAUAUUGCUCUUACCUUUUAUCUGUGUGAUAUGUUUUAUUCA
Lolium perenne is the source of this 1209-nucleotide non-coding RNA. NCBI's taxonomy places the organism in Eukaryota, Viridiplantae, Streptophyta, Magnoliopsida, Poales, Poaceae. The record is from RefSeq and is a predicted model, not a curated record.